GCGGGUGUCGUUCAAUGGUAGGACUCUUGCUUCCCAAGCAAACAACGCGGGUUCGAUUCCCGCUACCCGCUCCA
Molecule: transfer RNA, 74 nt
Filed under: Giesbergeria sp.
Lineage: Bacteria; Pseudomonadati; Pseudomonadota; Betaproteobacteria; Burkholderiales; Comamonadaceae
Description: tRNA-Gly
Rfam family: tRNA
About the family: Transfer RNA (tRNA) molecules are approximately 80 nucleotides in length. Their secondary structure includes four short double-helical elements and three loops (D, anti-codon, and T loops). Further hydrogen bonds mediate the characteristic L-shaped molecular structure. tRNAs have two regions of fundamental functional importance: the anti-codon, which is responsible for specific mRNA codon recognition, and the 3' end, to which the tRNAs corresponding amino acid is attached (by aminoacyl-tRNA synthetases). tRNAs cope with the degeneracy of the genetic code in two manners: having more than one tRNA (with a specific anti-codon) for a particular amino acid; and 'wobble' base-pairing, i.e. permitting non-standard base-pairing at the 3rd anti-codon position.
Source: RNAcentral